AAAUAAAUUGAAAAUUUUAAUAAAACAAUUUUUUUUUUUACAUUUAACUCAAAGUUAUUUAUGAUAAUAUUAAAAAUUGAGGAUUUAAUUAUCACUUUACCAUAUAAAUAUUUUAAUUUAUCAUUAAACCUCAUAUAUAUACCUUUCAUAUCAUUUUAACAAAUGGGUACUCAAUUUUCCUAAUUAGUUAUUAUUAAAUCAGAUUAAUAUAAAAGGUAUUUUUCAGGUAAAUUGGCCUUAAUUCUCCGUGUAAAUCCGUAUAAAAGGUAGCUUUUUUACUUUACUAAUUUGAGCCCCAAUCUCCCGUCCUCGCCACCAUUGCUGUCAAGACCCACAACAGAGCUCUCAAUCUCCCACCCUCGCACACCACCAUGCUGUCAAGACCCACAACAGACGACACCACUUGCAAUCGCAAAUUUAUAACCGUUCCUAACAUGGGAGGGGGAGCAAUCUGAUUGCGAGGGGUUGUCUUGUCGACGCCGCCGAUGAAAUAUUCAGUCCACUUGACGAGUCACCACCGCCGACACCAAAGCUCCACCCUCUGGUAAUGCUCGAUUUUGAGGAAAAUCAGCUAGCAGAUAUUUAUGUACCCAACCAGAGCUUCAUGUAGGCUAGCUCCAUAUGUUCCUUUGGCAAAAGAGUUCAUACGUGCAUAUGGGAGGAGAAGUAGAGGAUGCUCCAUGUUAUUCAAAUUAAUGCUUUAGAAAGACAGGCGAUAUUUGAGAAGUAGUUCCCUUACAUUACAUUCAAAUGGAGUGGAAAUAAAGUUAUGCAAGCCAUUUCAUCUAAUAGGCAGUGAAAAAAAAACAAAGAACAAUUUGCUGCGAUGAAUCCAAUGAUCUCGCUCUUCGGUCGCAGCAACAAUUGAACCUUGCCAUUGUGAGAGGGUAUUUUCUUUUACCGUCUGUUUGGUUUCUGAGACAAUUGAGCAAAAGAAAAGAAAAGUGAAAGCGAGGUGGUUAGUAUUGGAUGAGUGGAGGGAGGGUUCCUUUUUCAUUUCCUACAUUUUCUCAGUAACCAAUUAUAUGAUUAAUUUGAUUUGAAAUUUUAUGCAUUUUGGUAUCUGAGUUUUAGAUUUUUCUCAAUCUAAGAGCUAGUUUCGUUUUAUUAGAUUUUCUCGAAAAGAUUAAAUCCAACUUGAGAGCUGAACCUAAUAUCAGAAUCACUUUUUUAAUUGUUGAAAGGAUUGAAAUUUUGUGCGAUGAAUUAAUAGCCGGUUCUUGCUCUUCCAUGUAUUCAAUUCUGUUUUGAAGAUGAGUUACUGCGUGUGUGUUUGUGGACAAUAUUUCUGGUUUGAGGUAAAUUAUUACAUGUCAAAACUAAUCUAGAUGUUCAAUAUUUCUAUGUUUAUGAUAGUUAUUUUGUUCUACUUCAAUUGAUCUUGUGUUUUCACUUAUAAUUGACUGACUUAUAUCCCAUUUAAUUUUCUGAAGCCUGGUUGAUCCAUUUCUAUGGUAGGCUAAGUUGUGGUGUGACUGCCCUUUCUGGCUAGAUGACUUGCGAGAUUCCUGUGUUUGUGAAUGCCUUGAAAGUGAGUUCCCUGAAUCAUUUAAGAAGCUCUUUAAUCAUGACUUUUCAUCAAAAGAUCUCAUUUAUCAAGAGGGAAAGCCGCAGGCUGUUGUCAACUGUACACUAGAUGCCAAAGCUUUCAAAGGCUGGGUAGAAGUAAACAAUAUGAUGAGACUGACAACGGUGGAUUCUUUUUAGUCAAUAACACUGUAUCUUUUUUGCUUUUAAGUUACUCUUAUGGUUUUGAUGGUUCAUUUUCAUUUGCAGCAGAGAUGACAUCUGAAUUAGUGUUGGGGUUCCUAAUCAGGGUUUAGGGCUGGCUAGGUUCUGACAUUUUUCUUGCUUCUGCUAUUUUUUUCCUUUAAAUCUAUCUCAGUUGAAGUUAUUUCCUUCUCUA
Long non-coding RNA from Vitis vinifera (wine grape), 1906 nucleotides. RefSeq lists it as uncharacterized. NCBI's taxonomy places the organism in Eukaryota, Viridiplantae, Streptophyta, Magnoliopsida, Vitales, Vitaceae. The transcript has 2 exons. The record is from RefSeq and is a predicted model, not a curated record.